GAUCGCAAGACCUUGCGCUAAAGGAGCGGCCGAUGUCUGAUUAGUUAGUUGGUGGGGUAAAGGCCUUCCAAGGCAACGAUCAGUAGCUGGUCUGAGAGGACGAUCAGCCACACUGGGACUGAGACACGGCCCAGACUCCUACGGGAGGCAGCAGUGGGGAAUUUUGGACAAUGGGCGAAAGCCUGAUCCAGCCAUGCCGCGUGAAUGAAGAAGGCCUUCGGGUUGUAAAGUUCUUUUAGUUGGAAAGAAAAAAUUAUGAUGAAUAAUCAUAAUUCAUGACGGUACCGACAGAAAAAGCACCGGCUAACUACGUGCCAGCAGCCGCGGUAAUACGUAGGGUGCAAGCGUUAAUCGGAAUUACUGGGCGUAAAGGGUGUGCAGGCGGCCUUGUAAGUCAGAUGUGAAAGCCCCGGGCUUAACCUGGGAAUUGCGUUUGAAACUACAAAGCUAG
Molecule: ribosomal RNA, 451 nt
Filed under: uncultured Nitrosomonas sp.
Lineage: Bacteria; Pseudomonadati; Pseudomonadota; Betaproteobacteria; Nitrosomonadales; Nitrosomonadaceae
Description: bacterial SSU rRNA
Rfam family: Bacterial small subunit ribosomal RNA
Source: RNAcentral